GAUGAAGAACGUAGCAAAAUGCGAUGAGUAAUGUGAAUUGCAGAAUUCAGUGAAUCAUCGAAUCUUUGAACGCACAUUGCGCCCGCCAGUAUUCUGGCGGGCAUGCCUGUUCGAGCGUCAUUUCAACCCUCAAGCACAGCUUGGUGUUGGGACUCGCGUUAAUUCGCGUUCCCCAAAUUGAUUGGCGGUCACGUCGAGCUUCCAUAGCGUAGUAGUAAAACCCUCGUUACUGGUAAUCGUCGCGGCCACGCCGUUAAACCCCAACUUCUGAAUGUUGACCUCGGAUCAGGUAGGAAUACCCGCUGAACUUAAGCAUAUCAAUAAGCGGAGGA
This 332-nucleotide unclassified non-coding RNA is filed under the name soil metagenome. RNAcentral's name for it is "partial contains 5.8S ribosomal RNA, internal transcribed spacer 2, and large subunit ribosomal RNA". The stretch from base 1 to 120 matches the Rfam family "5.8S ribosomal RNA", at positions 35 to 154 of the family's 154-position model. The record is from RNAcentral.